CAGACCUUGUACUAUGGACUAAGGGUAUUACAAAAACAUGGAUGACGAGAACCACUCCAGGUGUACGGAAAUGAAUAUUCUAAAUAAUAAAAUUGAAAAUCACCAUGUUAGCCACAAGAGACAAGCACCUGUUGCGGUUGGAGAGACUAU
This is a long non-coding RNA of Gigantopelta aegis, 150 nucleotides long. RefSeq lists it as uncharacterized. The transcript is spliced from 3 exons. Lineage: Eukaryota; Metazoa; Mollusca; Gastropoda; Neomphalida; Peltospiridae. The record is from RefSeq and is a predicted model, not a curated record.